CAAGAGAUAAUUUAAUUAAAAUGUUAACAUUGGAAGUUAAUAAUUAAGUUGUGAACUUAUCUUUUGA
Molecule: transfer RNA, 67 nt
Filed under: Egea inermis
Lineage: Eukaryota; Metazoa; Mollusca; Cephalopoda; Oegopsida; Cranchiidae
Description: tRNA-Pro
Source: RNAcentral